This 468-nucleotide ribosomal RNA is filed under the name uncultured bacterium. RNAcentral describes it as "partial 16S ribosomal RNA". It matches the Rfam family "Bacterial small subunit ribosomal RNA", at positions 28 to 507 of the family's 1533-position model. The record is from RNAcentral.
GACGAACGCUGGCGGCGUGCUUAACACAUGCAAGUCGAACGGAAAGGCCCUGCUUUUGUGGGGUGCUCGAGUGCCGAACGGGUGAGUAUCACGUGAGUAACCUGCCCUUGUCUUUGGGAUAACUUCAGGAAACUGGGGCUAAUACCGUACCGGAGCUGCUGCUGCAUGGUGGGGGUUGGAAAGUCUCGGCGGUUGGGGAUGGACUCGCGGCUUAUCGGCUUGUUGGUGGGGUAGUGGCUUACCAAGGCUUUGACGGGUAGCCGGCCUGUGAGGGUGACCGGCGACAUGGGGACUGCGAUACGGAGCAGACUCCUACGGGAGGCAGCAGUGGGAAAUAUUGCACAAUGAGCGGGAGCGUGAUGCAGCAGCGCCGCGUGCGGGAUGACGGCCUUCGGGUUGUGAACCGCUUUCGCCUGUGACGAAGCGUGAGUGACGGUAAUGGGUGAAGAAGCACCGGCUAACUACGUG